This 468-nucleotide ribosomal RNA is filed under the name uncultured bacterium. RNAcentral's name for it is "partial 16S ribosomal RNA". It matches the Rfam family "Bacterial small subunit ribosomal RNA", at positions 28 to 507 of the family's 1533-position model. The record is from RNAcentral.
GACGAACGCUGGCGGCGUGCUUAACACAUGCAAGUCGAACGGAAAGGCCCUGCUUUUGUGGGGUGCUCGAGUGGCGAACGGGUGAGUAACACGUGAGUAACCUGCCCUUGACUUUGGGAUAACUUCAGGCAACUGGGGCUAAUACCGGAUAGGAGCUCCUGCUGCAUGGUGGGGGUUGGAAAGUUUCGGCGGUUGGGGAUGGACUCGGGGCUUAUCAGCUUGUUGGUGGGGUAGUGGCUUACCAAGGCUUUGACGGGUAGCCGGCCUGAGAGGGUGACCGGCCACAUUGGGACUGAGAUACGGCCCAGACUCCUACGGGAGGCAGCAGUGGGGAAUAUUGCACAAUGGGCGGAAGCCUGAUGCAGCAACGCCGCGUGCGGGAUGACGGCCUUCGGGUUGUAAACCGCUUUCGCCUGUGACGAAGCGUGAGUGACGGUAAUGGGUAAAGAAGCACCGGCUAACUACGUG